RNAcentral lists this ribosomal RNA (774 nucleotides) under uncultured Neocallimastigales. RNAcentral describes it as "partial large subunit ribosomal RNA". It matches the Rfam family "Eukaryotic large subunit ribosomal RNA", at positions 22 to 637 of the family's 3401-position model. Lineage: Eukaryota; Fungi; Neocallimastigomycota; Neocallimastigomycetes; Neocallimastigales. The record is from RNAcentral.
GUACACGCUGUGACUAGCAUAUCAAUAAGCGGAGGAAAAGAAACUAACAAGGAUUCCCCUAGUAACGGCGAGUGAAGCGGGAAGAGCUCAAAUUUGAAAUCUUAAAGGGUUUCCCUUUACGAAUUGUAGUUUAAAGAAGUGUUUUCUGUUGAGGUUUUGGUAAAAGUUCUUUGGAAUAGGACAUCAUAGAGGGUGAGAAUCCCGUAUUUGACCUUUACUUUCAACUUUGUGAUACACUUUCAAAGAGUCGGAUUGUUUGGGAAUGCAGUCCAAAAUGGGUGGUAAAUUUCAUCUAAAGCUAAAUAUUGGCGAGAGACCGAUAGCGAACAAGUACCGUGAGGGAAAGAUGAAAAGAACUUUGAAAAGAGAGUUAAACAGUACGUGAAAUUGUCAAAAGGGAAGCGUUUGACACCAGUGUUGUUUUUCUGAAAAUCAAUUAAAGAACUGUUUAUGCUAAGUUGUUUAGACUUUAUCAGCUAACUGUUUAGUUUUGAGCUUUUCUUUAAUGCACUUUCCAGUUAACAAGUCAACAUCAAUUUCUUUUGCUGUAAAAAAGCUUGAGGAAGGUGGCUUGAGAUUCGUCUUAAGUGUUUAUAGCCUCUUGCCUAUGCAGUCGGAGAGAUUGAGGUCUGCAGCGUAGAUCCUUCGGGGCUAAAUGCAUUUGUGCUAAGUUAUAACAUUUUAUAGACAACUUGUUGACUAUGAUUUGUCUUGUAGCUUACUCGCUUAUGUUAUUUUACCUACGCUUAGGAUGUUGACAGCAGUAUAGACUGU